CCAAUGAAAAGCAUUUCCUAUUGAGACCCCCAAGAGUUCCCCAGGCCCUCCGCUCAGGCCCAGACUUUGGGCCUUUUCUUGUGUCCCGGUUUUAAAGGCAUCCCAGCUACAGCAUUUAAGAGGGCCGUUCCUUAACAAAGGGAAAGAGAUAAAUGUAAAUAAGCUCACAUUUUCAGAAGGAGCAGUUUGCUGUAAGAAGCUUCAGCAGCCAGAAUCUGCUACUUUGGGCUGGGAUAAACUUUCUCUGUAAAAAAUAAUAAUAGUUUAAAAUAUGCACUUCUAAAGUGCGAGUUUCCCGUUUACAUGUUUAUUAGCUAAUUGUCUACAGGCAUGAGCACACUCUCUCAUCUAGCACACUCUUUCUUGGGGAAUACUGGUCUCUGGAGGAGUGUGAAAAUCAAUUCUCCUUAAUGUUAAGCAUCCAUUGGAGGAAAUCUCUAACCACAGUACCUCCGGAAAGUUCAUUGAUCAACGAAGUCUUGGAGAAAAUUGGUGCCAGAAUUUGGCUUGAACUAAUGUGGAGGAAAACAUUUCCUACCAGUCUUUAGUCUCAGAGUGCUGAACCCUGCAGCCUGCA
RNAcentral lists this long non-coding RNA (577 nucleotides) under Moschus moschiferus (Siberian musk deer). Its description in RNAcentral is "lncRNA (ENSMMSG00000000250.1)". Lineage: Eukaryota; Metazoa; Chordata; Mammalia; Artiodactyla; Moschidae. The record is from RNAcentral.